This 176-nucleotide ribosomal RNA is filed under the name Vitis vinifera (wine grape). RNAcentral's name for it is "5.8S ribosomal RNA". Lineage: Eukaryota; Viridiplantae; Streptophyta; Magnoliopsida; Vitales; Vitaceae. The record is from Rfam by way of RNAcentral.
GUCUCUCAACAAUAGAUAUCUAAGCUCUUGCAUCGAUGAAGAAUGUAGCAAAAUGUGAUACUUGGUGUUUGGGCAAAGGCAAUGGUUUGAAUGUAAAGGAGUUAAGGAACAUGUGACAUCUUCAAGGAGGACUCUACAUUUCAAACUUAGGAAAUGUUGCAAAUGUUCAAGAUGCA